GGGCCCGCACAAGCAGCGGAGCGUGUGGUUUAAUUCGAGGCUACGCGAAGAACCUUACCUAGACUUGACAUACAGAUGGUAGUGAAGUGAAAGCGGAACGACCUUCGGGAGUCUGUACAGGUGCUGCAUGGCUGUCGUCAGCUCGUGCCGUGAGGUGUUCGGUUAAGUCCGAAAACGAGCGCAACCCCUAGUGCCAGUUACAAGUGUCUGGCGCGACUGCCCGGGGGAACUGGGAGGAAGGUGGGGAUGACGUCAAGUCAGCAUGGCCUUUAUGUCUAGGGCUACACACACGCUACAAUGGCCGGUACAAUAGGCAGCCAAGCCGCGAGGCGGAGCGAAUCCAAUAAAGCCGGUCACAGUUCGGAUUGCAGGCUGCAACUCGCCUGCAUGAAGUCGGAGUUGCUAGUAAACGCGGGUCAGCUACACCGCGUUGAAUACGUUCCCGGGCCUU
RNAcentral lists this ribosomal RNA (451 nucleotides) under uncultured bacterium. RNAcentral's name for it is "bacterial SSU rRNA". It matches the Rfam family "Bacterial small subunit ribosomal RNA", at positions 917 to 1382 of the family's 1533-position model. The record is from RNAcentral.